AAUUCUCAACCUUUAUCAGCUUUUUGUUGAUUAGGCUUGGAUGUGGGGGUUUUGCGGGCUUUUUCUCAAAAGUCGGCUCUCCUUAAAUCUAUUAGCGGGACCUUUUGGUUGCUCCCAGCCCUAGUGUGAUAAUUAUCUACGCUAUUGCUGGGAGUGAUGUGGUGCAGCUUCUAAUUGUCUCGAUCUUGAGACUAAUUUUAUUACUUAUGACA
RNAcentral lists this unclassified non-coding RNA (212 nucleotides) under uncultured Tricholoma. Its description in RNAcentral is "sequence contains ITS2". Lineage: Eukaryota; Fungi; Basidiomycota; Agaricomycetes; Agaricales; Tricholomataceae. The record is from RNAcentral.